AACGAACGCUGGCGGCAUGCCUAACACAUGCAAGUCGAACGAGACCUUCGAGUCUAGUGGCGCACGGGUGCGCAACGCGUGGGAACCUGCCCUUAGGUUCGGAAUAACUCCCCGAAAGGGGUGCUAAUACCGGAUAAUGUCUUCGGACCAAAGAUUUAUCGCCUUUGGAUGGGCCCGCGUUGGAUUAGCUAGUUGGUAGGGUAAAAGCCUACCAAGGCGACGAUCCAUAGCUGGUCUGAGAGGAUGAUCAGCCACACUGGGACUGAGACACGGCCCAGACUCCUACGGGAGGCAGCAGUGGGGAAUAUUGGACAAUGGGCGAAAGCCUGAUCCAGCAAUGCCGCGUGAGUGAUGAAGGCCUUAGGGUUGUAAAGCUCUUUUACCCGGGAUGAUAAUGACAGUACCGGGAGAAUAAGCGCCGGCUAACUCCGUG
This 433-nucleotide ribosomal RNA is filed under the name uncultured bacterium. RNAcentral's name for it is "partial 16S ribosomal RNA". It matches the Rfam family "Bacterial small subunit ribosomal RNA", at positions 29 to 507 of the family's 1533-position model. The record is from RNAcentral.